CUGGCGGCGUGCUUAACACAUGCAAGUACGCGCGUGAAAGGGCUCGGCCCAAGUAAAGACGGCGCACGGGUGAGUAACGCGUGGAUGAUCUACCCAUGAGUUGGGAAUAACGGCUGGAAACGGUCGCUAAUACCGAAUACGCUCCGAUUUCAACUUCGGGGGAAAGGUGGCCUCUGCUUGCAAGCUACUGCUCAUGGAUGAGUCCGCGUCCCAUUAGCUAGUUGGUGGGGUAACGGCCCACCAAGGCGACGAUGGGUAGCCGGUCUGAGAGGAUGACCGGCCACACUGGGACUGGAACACGGCCCAGACUCCUACGGGAGGCAGCAGUGGGGAAUAUUGCGCAAUGGGCGAAAGCCUGACGCAGCGACGCCGCGUGAGGGGAAUGAAGGUCCUCGGAUCGUAAACCUCUGUCAGGAGGGAAGAACCGCCACGGUGCUAAUCAGCCGUGGUCUGACGGUACCUCCAAAGGAAGCACCGGCUAACUCCGUGCCAGCCGCCGC
Molecule: ribosomal RNA, 500 nt
Filed under: uncultured bacterium
Lineage: Bacteria
Description: bacterial SSU rRNA
Rfam family: Bacterial small subunit ribosomal RNA
Source: RNAcentral